UGAGCAACCUGCCCUUAGCUCUGGGAUAACCCCGGGAAACCGGGGCUAAUAUCGGAUACGAGUCCGAGCGGCAUCACACGGACUGGAAAGUUUUUCGGCUAAGGAUGGGCUCGCGGCCUAUCAGCUUGUUGGUGGGGUAAUGGCCUACCAAGGCGACGACGGGUAGCCGGCCUGAGAGGGCGACCGGCCACACUGGGACUGAGACACGGCCCAGACUCCUACGGGGAGGCG
Molecule: ribosomal RNA, 231 nt
Filed under: uncultured bacterium
Lineage: Bacteria
Description: partial 16S ribosomal RNA
Rfam family: Bacterial small subunit ribosomal RNA
Source: RNAcentral